Molecule: ribosomal RNA, 403 nt
Filed under: Fusobacteriota bacterium
Lineage: Bacteria; Fusobacteriati; Fusobacteriota
Description: Fusobacteria bacterium partial 16S ribosomal RNA
Rfam family: Bacterial small subunit ribosomal RNA
Source: RNAcentral
UGGGGAAUAUUGCACAAUGGAGGGAACUCUGAUGCAGCGACGCCGCGUGAACGAAGAAGGCUUUCGAGUCGUAAAGUUCUUUUAUAUGGGAAGAUAAUGACGGUACCAUAAGAAAAAGCCCCGGCUAACUACGUGCCAGCAGCCGCGGUAAUACGUAGGGGGCUAGCGUUGUCCGGAAUCACUGGGCGUAAAGGGUUCGCAGGCGGAAAUGCAAGUCAGGUGUAAAAGGCAGUAGCUUAACUACUGUAAGCAUUUGAAACUGCAUAUCUUGAGAAGAGUAGAGGUAAGUGGAAAUUUUAGUGUAGCGGUGGAAUGCGUAGGUAUUAAAAAGAAUACCGGUGGCGAAGGCGACUUACUGGGCUCAUUCUGACGCUGAGGAACGAAAGCGUGGGUAGCAAACAGG